RNAcentral lists this ribosomal RNA (497 nucleotides) under uncultured bacterium. Its description in RNAcentral is "partial 16S ribosomal RNA". It matches the Rfam family "Bacterial small subunit ribosomal RNA", at positions 28 to 507 of the family's 1533-position model. The record is from RNAcentral.
GAUGAACGCUGGCGGCGUGCCUAAUACAUGCAAGUCGAGCGAACGGACGAGAAGCUUGCUUUUCUGAUGUUAGCGGCGGACGGGUGAGUAACACGUGGAUAACCUACCUAUAAGACUGGGAUAACUUCGGGAAACCGGAGCUAAUACCGGAUAAUAUUUUGAACCGCAUGGUUCAAAAGUGAAAGACGGUCUUGCUGUCACUUAUAGAUGGAUCCGCGCUGCAUUAGCUAGUUGGUAAGGUAACGGCUUACCAAGGCAACGAUGCAUAGCCGACCUGAGAGGGUGAUCGGCCACACUGGAACUGAGACACGGUCCAGACUCCUACGGGGGGCAGCAGUAGGGAAUCUUCCGCAAUGGGCGAAAGCCUGACGGAGCAACGCCGCGUGAGUGAUGAAGGUCUUCGGAUCGUAAAACUCUGUUAUUAGGGAAGAACAUAUGUGUAAGUAACUGUGCACAUCUUGACAGUACCUAAUCAGAAAGCCACGGCUAACUACGUG